RNAcentral lists this ribosomal RNA (617 nucleotides) under uncultured bacterium. Its description in RNAcentral is "bacterial SSU rRNA". It matches the Rfam family "Bacterial small subunit ribosomal RNA", at positions 338 to 951 of the family's 1533-position model. The record is from RNAcentral.
CCUACGGGAGGCAGCAGUGGGGAAUUUUGGACAAUGGGCGCAAGCCUGAUCCAGCAAUGCCGCGUGCAGGAUGAAGGCCUUCGGGUUGUAAACUGCUUUUGUACGGAACGAAACGGUCCUUUCUAAUACAAGGGGCUAAUGACGGUACCGUAAGAAUAAGCACCGGCUAACUACGUGCCAGCAGCCGCGGUAAUACGUAGGGUGCGAGCGUUAAUCGGAAUUACUGGGCGUAAAGCGUGCGCAGGCGGUUAUAUAAGACAGAUGUGAAAUCCCCGGGCUCAACCUGGGACCUGCAUUUGUGACUGUAUAGCUAGAGUACGGUAGAGGGGGAUGGAAUUCCGCGUGUAGCAGUGAAAUGCGUAGAUAUGCGGAGGAACACCGAUGGCGAAGGCAAUCCCCUGGACCUGUACUGACGCUCAUGCACGAAAGCGUGGGGAGCAAACAGGAUUAGAUACCCUGGUAGUCCACGCCCUAAACGAUGUCAACUGGUUGUUGGGUCUUCACUGACUCAGUAACGAAGCUAACGCGUGAAGUUGACCGCCUGGGGAUCGGCCGCAAGGUUGAAACUCAAAGGAAUUGACCGGNUGAGACGNGCGAGACGACGACGAGGGAGGAGG